CGCGGCAAAGCAGAGGCAGGCAGCUAGGCACAAAGCAGCCGAGUUUGAAACUUCGAUUUUCCUGCUGCUGCCUAAAGCCUCACACGUGAAGAACAUUACCUUUGUGUAGCCAGGAGCCGAGCUGCAGUCUGACUGUGCAUGGUAGCUUCUGAUGUGGCAGCAUGAAUUCUCAGCUGGGCAGACUGUACCAUUCAUCUCGGGGUGAUUGUGCCAUUCUGAGGAGGUGGUACGGACUAUCCAUCCUCCCUGGGGAACAGCGGAAGCAUUUAGCAGAUGUGGGGUUUCUGGAAUUGUCCUUCUAAUAGCGUGGAGACAGCACGUGACUCAUGCCAACCAGCAACACCUUCGCGUUUGACUAUUUCGGGGAGGGACCGGAGGGCCUCAGUGGAGCUUUAGAUCUGCACCCCAGAUGUCCUGGACCCAGAGAAAAUGCAACAGACUCUCUUGCUAUCCAAAGCAUGUUCCUGGGAGAGCGAGUGAUGGGAAGCACCGCCUACAGGAAGCCACAGGCAGGACAGAGAUGAUGGAGGCUUGGCGCUUGCAGAGGGUCCAUGAUGUUCGGAGAUAGGGAAAUCAGGUCUGGUUCCUCACAAGGCUUGGAUGGCAGAACUUUGGUUGGGAGACUGAGGAUGCCUGGUGAAGACCCUGCACCCCUGUGGAUCAAGCAGGUGUGAGACAAGCAGAGGGGAUGACAGUGACCAUAAGUACAUAGACACUAGCUGGGAGCCAUCUUACCUAAAUCUGUAUAUGGGCUGUUUUCCACAACUCUGGGUAGAGGAAGAAAACUCAUAAAGAGAAAGAAAAGACUGGGCACCAAACCUACACCUGCUCGUUUCCUUAGGAUAUGUUCGUGCAAACAAAAUGAACUUAAGAUUCCAAAUGACUUAAGGCUUUCUGCGUGCAACAUUCUAUUUGUAUUUUUCACAUCUAUGCUACAUCUAUUUAUCUCUGACAAAAUGUUAUUAGGAAAAGGCAGGAGAGCUGAAUUAACCAAGCUAAUUGAUCAUUAAGUAUAAUCGUCCAUUAAGUACAAAUUUCCAUUUAUAAUCUAUUUCUUCCAAGAGGAUUUCAAUUAUUAGAUUGCUGUAUUGAUAUGCUGAGGAGGUAAUCGUUACAUGUAUAAACAAACAAUAUAAAUUUCCACACGAGAAAGAGAAGAAUAUUGAUCAGUUAUGCAUAUUGUCAGGAAAUCAUCUAGAAGGGUGAAGACAGGCACGAGACUAAAGAGGGGUGAGUCUCAUCUCAAAACCUAUCUGCCACCUCUUGGCAUCUUCUCAAUGGUUUCAGGACAUGACCCCAUGCUGUGUUCAAUGGUUCAGCCGUGUGUAUUCGGAAAAGUGACUUAACUCCUGUGAUUCUCCAAUGUCUCUUUCAUAAGCAACAGGUAAUGCCGAGACCCAUCUCGAAGGGUUUCUGGCAGAAAUAAAAGAAUUAAACUUGGAACCUUCUAGAAACAUUCUUGGUGCCCCAUGAGCCUGUGAACAUCUUCAGGAGCACGGAGCGCAACGUCCAGCCUCUGGCCUCACUCUCCAGCAUCCCCUCUCCCUGUUCUCUCAGCACAGGCAGGCUGUAGACAACAUGAAGGUCCUGUCACACUCUCAGCUCUCAUGAUCUUACUUUUCCUGCCUUUCCAGGCUUCUUUUCUGUCUGGAAUGAGGGCCCCACGCCUUUCUUGCUGAAUGUUUCUCCUGGAGAGGGAAUAAAGAUUGCUAAUCCCCGC
Long non-coding RNA from Microtus oregoni (creeping vole), 1720 nucleotides. RefSeq lists it as uncharacterized. Lineage: Eukaryota; Metazoa; Chordata; Mammalia; Rodentia; Cricetidae. The transcript is spliced from 3 exons. The record is from RefSeq and is a predicted model, not a curated record.